Molecule: long non-coding RNA, 844 nt
Filed under: Ananas comosus (pineapple)
Lineage: Eukaryota; Viridiplantae; Streptophyta; Magnoliopsida; Poales; Bromeliaceae
Description: long non-coding RNA (ACOM_LNC027467)
Source: RNAcentral
UUCAUGAGAGAGAGAGAGAGAGGGAAGGAGGUGAUGGUGUAUAGCAAAAGAUGAGAGAUAGAGAAUUGAUCAAUAGAUUGAAGAUAAAGAAUUGAAAGUCCGAUGGAAGAAAGGAAAAAGGCCAUGAUGAAUAAUUAGAGAUAAAGAUGUUAGGAUUGUAGAUGGUAAUGGGACCAUUUAAAUAUAUUAAUUGGAAGUUAGAUAUUGGGACCGUUUGCAUUAAUUGAAAUAUAAUGGAGGGAAGGGAAAUGAUCAUUAUGAAUAAUUGUAGAUAGAAACGAUACAAUUGAAUACACUAAUUGAAAGAUUGGUUAGUGGGAUCGUUAAAAUGCAUAUUGAAAAUUUGGUGAAGGAAAGAAGAAGAGUCACAUACUAGUGAGGGUGAAGAAGAACUUGUCACGUGGCAAUAAAUAUUGGGAAUUCAUACAGGUUAAUAGAUAUAUAUAUAUAUAUAUAUAUAUNAGGAAAGAAGAAGAGUCACAUACUAGUGAGUGUGAAGAAGAACUUGUCACGUGGCAAUAAAUAUUAGGAAUUCAUACAGGUUAAUAGAUAUAUAUAUAUAUUAUUGAGCUCCUAUGCUUUUAAAAGUACCAAGUUAUCGGUGCUUGUAGAUUUUUAGCCAUUGGAUUAAGAUAUAUGCGGCUUAGGAUGAUGUGGACCCCCUAGGGUUGAGUGGGUAGUUUGUUGAAUAGUAUAAUUUAAUGGUUGAAAAUGAUUCGAGGAGUAGAUCUAACGGUAAAAAACUUAAAAGCACCAAGUGCUUGAUGCUUUUACAAGUACCAUAGCUGGACUCUAUAUAUAUAUAUAUUUAUGGAGAAUAAACUACUACUUCUUAAUUCUUAUA